Long non-coding RNA from Gallus gallus (chicken), 724 nucleotides. RefSeq lists it as uncharacterized. The transcript is spliced from 4 exons. The record is from RefSeq and is a predicted model, not a curated record. Lineage: Eukaryota; Metazoa; Chordata; Aves; Galliformes; Phasianidae.
CUUCUUGGUAUAAAUUACUCUUCAGCUUGCUUCUAACAUCUUGUGAUGCAGUCGCAAGCUUUAUGACAUACAAGUGCUACUGUGACUGUGAAAAACUGACUUCACCAAACAAGCAAUAUUGCAAUGAAAAUCAACUCAGCAGAGAUUAUAUAGACUGAAGAAGUUUCAGCCUCGUCUGGCACACAGCUCAGAAUGGUGAGACUUGGGAAGCAGAAGGGCAAAACUACUGUAACCAAGAUGCCACCUGGGUGCUCAUAAGGCAUCAGCCUACAGGUGGAUUGGAGAGGCUUGAGUCGCUCUCUGCCUUUCCUUGGCACACACCUCAUUUUACAGAAUGUUUUUCUUCACCUUUAUUCAUCUCUCUGCUCCAUGACUUGGGGAACAGCAGAUAGAAAGAUCUUACAGGUCCCUGACUCCAUCUUGUCCACUACGGCCUCAAAGAUGCAUCAACAAACUACAAUUUCAGCUUCUUUUCAGAUAGAGCAUUUACCCCAUCAUCCAGAACAUUCAGAAACCCUGAAUUCUAUCUUUGAAUUAGAAUGGUGCCAUUGCAAGGGACCUACAAAGAUCAUUGAGUCCAACUGCCUGACCACCUCAGGGCUAACAAAAAGUUAAAGCGUGUUUUUUGAAGGCAUUGACCAAAUACUUUCUCAACAGUGACAGGUAUGGAGCACCAACCACCUCUCUAGGAAGCCUGUUGCAGUGUAUGGCCACUCUGAUAAAG